This 167-nucleotide ribosomal RNA is filed under the name uncultured bacterium. RNAcentral describes it as "partial 16S ribosomal RNA". It matches the Rfam family "Bacterial small subunit ribosomal RNA", at positions 338 to 497 of the family's 1533-position model. The record is from RNAcentral.
CCUACGGGAGGCAGCAGUGGGGAAUUUUGGACAAUGGGGGCAACCCUGAUCCAGCCAUUCCGCGUGAGUGAAGAAGGCCUUCGGGUUGUAAAGCUCUUUCAGCAGGAACGAAACGGUGGCCCCUAAUACGGGCUACUAAUGACGGUACCUGAAGAAGAAGCACCGNA